UUGCUCACUUCAGCAGCACCUGAACUAAAAUUGGAACAAUACAGAGAAGAUCAGCAGGGCCCCUGCACGAGGACGACACACAAAUUCACGAAGUGUUUCAUUUUAAA
Molecule: small nuclear RNA, 107 nt
Organism: Colobus angolensis palliatus
Lineage: Eukaryota; Metazoa; Chordata; Mammalia; Primates; Cercopithecidae
Source: Ensembl